Molecule: long non-coding RNA, 2928 nt
Organism: Amphiprion ocellaris (clown anemonefish)
Lineage: Eukaryota; Metazoa; Chordata; Actinopteri; Pomacentridae
Source: Ensembl
AUGCUUUUUUCUUUUUCAUGAUCAAAAGGGGAUAUACGAAAUUUUAAAAAUGCUUUGAUUUUCAUUUUAUAUUUAGAAUAACAAAAAAAUAAAAUCAGUAAGACACAGAAACGAAAAAAGAUCCGUUUUUUCAUUUUCUGAGACCGGAAGUGGUCAUCAGCUAGCGUGGAGUCAAACGACAACAAGAUUCUCAGAGGGCGGAGCCAGAGAGCAGUGAUCGGUCAGACCAUAGAAGACAGCGAGCUAGCGUAUCUAGUCUGCUAUAUAUAUCUAUGGUCGGCACGUGUGGUAUCGUCUCUGGCUGCUGUUGACCUUGUUUUUGGAGUAAAACACGGUGGAAGCUGAAUUAGUGAGGAUGACUCCUGCUCCUGUCAUCUCUAAGCUCCUCACACAUCUUUACCUGCACAUGAGGAAAAUCACUCCUGUAGAAUGCAGAUGUUCAGAGGGAGAUGAUGCCACAUCUGGUCCAGCUGAUGGAAGGUCUUGAAGUUCUCUGACUGGCCUCGACUGAAGAUGGUCGUCUCACUGGAUUUAAGGUUCAGAUGCUCAGUAACAAACUCCACCAAUGUGCCAACAGGGAAGCUUUAGGUUUAUUACAUGUUGCUAUGAAGGUAUCGCUGUUUUUCUUUGUGAAUGCAAUGUGCUCCAACUGAAAGUUGAAUUACAACUUAGAAGUAAAUCCUUCCAUCUGAAAGGAUCUAGUUGGGUUAAUAACCCCAUAACAUUCUAAUUUUUAAAUAAUAGAAAUAGAAUCUCUGUAUUGAUUCAGGUAAAAACUGAACUUCACAGCAUGUUGGAGCAAAACAACCAGAUGAAAACUGUGAUGGUGUUGGAUUGUCAGACCGUAAUGUUGCAGCUCAAAGCAGCUUUUCUAGCUCAGUUCAUUCUGACAUUCAGCUAUGAAUCAACACAGCAGAUGGUGAUCCAUGCUGUGGAAGUCUCACAUCUCCUGAUUUAAUGGAGCUGCUUUGCACUUUUUACACUGUUUAUUCACCAACACUUUAUUUAAUAAAAGUCCCAUCUAGUUUUUAUGAGGAAUGUGAUGUUUUAAUUUCUCUGUGAAUAACUGCAGUCUAAUGCAACAGCUGGAGUUGUAACAUCUGUCCUGAUAUUGAUCAUGAAGUAUUGAUCAGAAUACUUAUGGUCAGCAGUCAUCCCUGAAGUUUUACAUUAAAAUCUUUACUUGUGUUGUAAACUUUGGUAAGAAGCAGAAACGUUAGCGUUGCCAUGGAUACAUGAGUGUUAAAUUCUGUCCAUGUUUCCAUUUUGGGAACUGCAGUCCAGCAGAUGAGUUUGUUUUUACUUACAGCUACCAUUCAGUCUGAGAUAUUAAGAAUAAAUAAAUGUGCAUAAUGUGGAAAUGAACAGAUUUUAUUUUUAUUUAUUCCUACAGCAAAUAUUAUCUGAAAGUCGGGUUAUUGUUGUUUAUCAGCACAAUACAAAAAGAUUUAUAUUAGAAAUAUUCCAGUUAAGGCUCUAGAAUGUCAUGAUUUAUGUAAAUUUACCUCAAUAAUAUGAAUGUUCAGGUUAAGAUUGUGCAGUGAUAUUUAUUCUGUAAGUUUAGCUGAUUGAAGUUUAUGAUGCUGCACUACAAUAUUAUUUAUUAUUUAAAUUUACAUCAUUAUUAUAAUAUUUAGGGCCAGACCCUACAGUAUUGAGAUUAAGAAAUCAAAUAAUCUAUAAAAUGUAAAUACACUGAACUCAUUUGGAUAUAUUUAAGUGAGACUCUACAAUAUUAUUUGACACAAAUCUAUCUAAAUCAGAAUUUUAAUCAUUUUUACUCCAAACAUUUACUGGACUGAUUUAAACAUUAAAAUCACUCCUUUCUAAUCCUCUGCUGUACGUUCAAACCUGAGGCCUUAAAUAGAAACACACAAGUAUCUGUUUGAAGGAACUUCUGCAGUCCUGGUUCCAGAACAUGAUGAUAGAAUUAUAGACAAACUUUAACAAAAGCUGCCUGAGAGUUUACAGGUUUUUAUGUUAGAUUUCUUCAGUAAUUUAAUGAGUUAUCAGCAAAAAUCAAGUGUUCAUUUGAUGAACUUCAUUUCUUAAAACAUCCAGAAUUGGAGCUCAUAUCUUUGGCAGCUGUAAAGUUUCUGCUCCUUCAAAGUUCACAACACAAUGAAUUAAUUCCUAAAACACUCUCAAUGCUGGAGAGCAUUUGAUGCUGAAGCAGUGACCAGUUUUUCUGUUUCUUCUCUGGAGAUGCACAAUGAGGGACGUCUGCAGUGACUGAGAAAGAGUCUCACCACAUCCUGACGUGAGGAAAAAGACUUUAUUGAAGACUACAAUGAGAAAAACUAUCAGACAGCAGACGGCUGCAUUCAAGAGAAGAAGACCAUCAAACAUCCACGUCAGCUGAUGGAGGUCCUAAGAGUCUCACUGAAGAACCAACCUACAGAGUGAAGACCUCAAAUCUGAUUGGACGGCCUCCUAUUCAGCCACGUGUGAACAAAUGCCUCUAAGUUGAUUUGUUUUCUAAAAUAAAUCUAGUUUGAGUCCUAAUCUAUGCCUGUGUUUGCUUCUUUACACCGCUGUUAACAGUUUAGGCUGUUAGAUUGUUCCAGAUAAGACAAGUACAAGAUUCUUCAGAGCCGUUCUACCACGAGCCUGACAGGAAGAACUCCAACAGCUACUGAAUGUUCCUGUGGUUCCCUCAAGGCUACAGGAGGAGCCCUACGAGGACGAGCCGGUCCACCUGAUGGUGGCCAGUCGCUGCAGUUCAAAGCCAACACCGACUACGUGGACUUCUACUGGACCACACGGAGGCCUUCAAACCGGACCAACAAGUUCACCGACUCCCCGACUUGUGGGUCUGAGGACGCCGCCGAGCCUCGGCCCAGCCGGCCACCUGUCUGUGGGUGUUUGAGUGCUGAGAGGUUUGUGGAUGCAUGUGAACGUGUCUGUGUUGAAACAGCAGCUUUGGAC